This 390-nucleotide unclassified non-coding RNA is filed under the name soil metagenome. RNAcentral describes it as "partial contains 5.8S ribosomal RNA, internal transcribed spacer 2, and large subunit ribosomal RNA". The stretch from base 1 to 121 matches the Rfam family "5.8S ribosomal RNA", at positions 35 to 154 of the family's 154-position model. The record is from RNAcentral.
GAUGAAGAAGCAGCGAAAUGCGAUACUUGGUGUGAAUUGCAGAAUCCCGUGAACCAUCGAGUCUUUGAACGCAAGUUGCGCCCGAAGCCAUUAGGCCGAGGGCACGCCUGCCUGGGCGUCACACGUCGUUGCCCCCCCAUCUACUCCUUCGGGAUUGCGGGGGGCGGAUGAUGGCCUCCCGUGCGCCUCGCCGCGCGGUUGGCAUAAAUGCCAAGUCCUCGGCGACGCACGCCACGACAAUCGGUGGUUGCGAAACCUCGGUUGCCCGUCGUGUGCGGUCGUCGCGCAUCGAGGGCUCGAAAAAAUUGCCGGGUUCCGGCUCGGCUUUCAACGCGACCCCAGGUCAGGCGGGGUUACCCGCUGAAUUUAAGCAUAUCAAUAAGCGGAGGA